RNAcentral lists this transfer RNA (76 nucleotides) under Crassvirales sp. Its description in RNAcentral is "tRNA-His". It matches the Rfam family "tRNA". Rfam says of the family: Transfer RNA (tRNA) molecules are approximately 80 nucleotides in length. Their secondary structure includes four short double-helical elements and three loops (D, anti-codon, and T loops). Further hydrogen bonds mediate the characteristic L-shaped molecular structure. tRNAs have two regions of fundamental functional importance: the anti-codon, which is responsible for specific mRNA codon recognition, and the 3' end, to which the tRNAs corresponding amino acid is attached (by aminoacyl-tRNA synthetases). tRNAs cope with the degeneracy of the genetic code in two manners: having more than one tRNA (with a specific anti-codon) for a particular amino acid; and 'wobble' base-pairing, i.e. permitting non-standard base-pairing at the 3rd anti-codon position. Lineage: Duplodnaviria; Heunggongvirae; Uroviricota; Caudoviricetes; Crassvirales. The record is from RNAcentral.
GUGUUAGUAUUUUAAUUGGUUAGAAGUCUUGACUGUGAAUCAAGAGGGUGAGAGUUCAAAUCUCUCCUAACACCCU